UANGGGGCAAGCGUUAUCCGGAUUUACUGGGUGUNAAGGGAGCGUAUACGGACUGCAAGUCUGAAGUGAAAGCCCGGGGCUUAACCCCGGNACUGCUUUGGAAACUGUAGAACUAGAGUGCANGAGAGGUAAGUGGAAUUCCUANUGUACCGGUGAAAUGCGUAGAUAUUACGANGAACACCAUUGGCGAANGCNGCUUACUGGACUGUAACUGACGUUGAGGCUCGNAAGCGUGNNGAGCAAACAGGAUUAGAUACCCUGGUAGUCCACGCCGUACACGAUGAUUACUAGGUGUUGGUGGGUAUGACCCAUCGGUGCCGCAGCACACGCNUUAANUAAUCCACCUGGGGAGU
Molecule: ribosomal RNA, 353 nt
Filed under: uncultured bacterium
Lineage: Bacteria
Description: partial 16S ribosomal RNA
Rfam family: Bacterial small subunit ribosomal RNA
Source: RNAcentral